This 1206-nucleotide ribosomal RNA is filed under the name Triticum aestivum (bread wheat). RNAcentral's name for it is "partial small subunit ribosomal RNA". Lineage: Eukaryota; Viridiplantae; Streptophyta; Magnoliopsida; Poales; Poaceae. The record is from RNAcentral.
CACGGCUAAAAAGCUCCCCCCUCCCCCACGUUUCGACGGAGCUCCCUUCCAUCUCUCCCCCCUUUCUUCUUCCUCCCCACGCCAGCCGCCGCCCCGGACCUAGGGUUUCCCCGCCGCCGCCGCCGCCGAAUCGCAGCAGGAGGAGGACGAGAUGGGCACGCCGGAGACCUCGCGGGAGCCGUGCCCGGACCGCAUCCUCGACGACGUGGGCGGCGCGUUCGGGAUGGGGGCGGUGGGCGGCUCCGUCUUCCAUUUCCUCAAGGGCACCUACAACUCGCCCAACGGCGAGCGCCUGCUGGGCGGGGCCCAGCAGGUGCGCCUCAACGCGCCGCGCGUCGGCGGGAGCUUCGCCGUCUGGGGCGGCCUCUUCUCCGCCUUCGACUGCACCAUGGUCUUCGUGCGCCAGAAGGAGGACCCCUGGAACUCCAUCAUCGCCGGCGCCGCCACGGGUGGCUUCCUCUCCAUGCGCCAGGGCCCCGGCGCCGCCGGCCGCUCCGCGCUCAUGGGCGGCUGCCUCCUCGCGCUCAUCGAGGGCGCCGGCCUCAUGCUCAACCGCGUCCUCGCCGCGCCGCAGAACCUCCCCCCGCUCCCCACCGACGACCCCAACCUGGCCGCCGCGAUGGCGGGGGGAGGCGUCGGCGGCUUCCCAGGCAUGCCCCAGCCACCCGUGCCCCCUGUGGAGGUCGGGAGCUCCGGCGGCGGGGGUAGUUGGUUCGGCGGCCUCUUCGGCAAGAAGGAGGAGGAGAAGAAGCCCAGCGGCAGCGGCGGCAAGUCGGAGAUAUUAGAGAGCUUUGAUACGCCCAGCCCUCCGAUACCUUCGUUCGACUACAAGUGAAAAAAAAGGUAGCUGAUGGCGCCGAUGCGCAGCGGCGCUCGAUCCACAAGUAGUAGUCUGAAGCUGGGAGUGCAAUCUACUUCAUCUUGUCGGAGGGGUAGACAAGUGACGCUUGCGCAGCUCAACUUCUAGUACUGUUAUCUAUGGGCUGACCAGUCGCUGGGAAAAGGUUUUGGAUUAUUAGUUUAUUGUACGCGAGCUUUUUAAACUUUGCAUGUUCAUGUUGUUGCCGUGGUAGUGACGGUAAUAAUGCCUAUAGCGUCAUAUGGUGCAGAUGUACUGCUGCGCUUGAAAAGCCUAAAAUUAAAAUUACGCCUCUGUCUGUCUGUCUGUCUGUCUUGCUUCUGGUGUGACGUCAGGGUUCUUCUGCC